UGUGCUACCAUGCAGAGCUCUGCUUUGUAUU
RNAcentral lists this non-coding RNA (31 nucleotides) under Mus musculus (house mouse). The record is from RNAcentral. Lineage: Eukaryota; Metazoa; Chordata; Mammalia; Rodentia; Muridae.